This 69-nucleotide transfer RNA is filed under the name Idiurus macrotis (long-eared scaly-tailed flying squirrel). RNAcentral describes it as "tRNA-Gly". The record is from RNAcentral. Lineage: Eukaryota; Metazoa; Chordata; Mammalia; Rodentia; Anomaluridae.
AUUUUCUUAGUAUUAACUAGUACAUGUGACUUCCAAUCACAAAGAUCUGGCUUCACCCAGAAGAAAAUA